Molecule: ribosomal RNA, 495 nt
Filed under: uncultured bacterium
Lineage: Bacteria
Description: partial 16S ribosomal RNA
Rfam family: Bacterial small subunit ribosomal RNA
Source: RNAcentral
GACGAACGCUGGCGGCGUGCCUAAUACAUGCAAGUAGAACGCUGAAGGAGGAGCUUGCUUCUCUGGAUGAGUUGCGAACGGGUGAGUAACGCGUAGGUAACCUGCCUGGUAGCGGGGGAUAACUAUUGGAAACGAUAGCUAAUACCGCAUAAUAGCAGUUGUUGCAUGACAACUGUUUGAAAGGUGCAAUUGCACCACUACCAGAUGGACCUGCGUUGUAUUAGCUAGUUGGUGGGGUAACGGCUCACCAAGGCGACGAUACAUAGCCGACCUGAGAGGGUGAUCGGCCACACUGGGACUGAGACACGGCCCAGACUCCUACGGGAGGCAGCAGUAGGGAAUCUUCGGCAAUGGACGGAAGUCUGACCGAGCAACGCCGCGUGAGUGAAGAAGGUUGUCGGAUCGUAAAGCUCUGUUGUAAGAGAAGAACGAGUGUGAGAGUGGAAAGUUCACACUGUGACGGUAGCCUACCAGAAAGGGACGGCUAACUACGUG